AGACCCGAAACCCGGUGAUCUAGCCAUGGGCAGGUUGAAGGUUGGGUAACACUAACUGGAGGACCGAACCGACUAAUGUUGAAAAAUUAGCGGAUGACCUGUGGCUGGGGGUGAAAGGCCAAUCAAACCGGGAGAUAGCUGGUUCUCCCCGAAAGCUAUUUAGGUAGCGCCUCGUGAAUUCAUCUCCGGGGGUAGAGCACUGUUUCGGCUAGGGGGCCAUCCCGGCUUACCAACCCGAUGCAAACUGCGAAUACCGGAGAAUGUUAUCACGGGAGACACACGGCGGGUGCUAACGUCCGUCGUGAAGAGGGAAACAACCCAGACCGCCAGCUAAGGUCCCAAAGUCAUGGUUAAGUGGGAAACGAUGUGGGAAGGCCCAGACAGCCAGGAUGUUGGCUUAGAAGCAGCCAUCAUUUAAAGAAAGCGUAAUAGCUCACUGGUCGAGUCGGCCUGCGCGGAAGAUGUAACGGGGCUAAACCAUGCACCGAAGCUGCGGCAGCGACGCUUAUGCGUUGUUGGGUAGGGGAGCGUUCUGUAAGCCUGUGAAGGUGUGUCGUGAGGCAUGCUGGAGGUAUCAGAAGUGCGAAUGCUGACAUAAGUAACGAUAAAGCGGGUGAAAAGCCCGCUCGCCGGAAGACCAAGGGUUCCUGUCCAACGUUAAUCGGGGCAGGGUGAGUCGACCCCUAAGGCGAGGCCGAAAGGCGUAGUCGAUGGGAAACGGGUUAAUAUUCCCGUACUUGGUGUUACUGCGAAGGGGGGACGGAGAAGGCUAUGUUGGCCGGGCGACGGUUGUCCCGGUUUAAGCGUGUAGGUGUGUGUUCCAGGUAAAUCCGGUUCACUUUAACACUGAGGCGUGAUGACGAGGCACUACGGUGCUGAAGUAACAAAUGCCCUGCUUCCAGGAAAAGCCUCUAAGCAUCAGGUAACAUCAAAUCGUACCCCAAACCGACACAGGUGGUCAGGUAGAGAAUACCAAGGCGCUUGAGAGAACUCGGGUGAAGGAACUAGGCAAAAUGGUGCCGUAACUUCGGGAGAAGGCACGCUGACACGUAGGUGAAGUGAUUUACUCACGGAGCUGAAGUCAGUCGAAGAUACCAGCUGGCUGCAACUGUUUAUUAAAAACACAGCACUGUGCAAACACGAAAGUGGACGUAUACGGUGUGACGCCUGCCCGGUGCCGGAAGGUUAAUUGAUGGGGUCAGCGCAAGCGAAGCUCCUGAUCGAAGCCCCGGUAAACGGCGGCCGUAACUAUAACGGUCCUAAGGUAGCGAAAUUCCUUGUCGGGUAAGUUCCGACCUGCACGAAUGGCGUAAUGAUGGCCAGGCUGUCUCCACCCGAGACUCAGUGAAAUUGAACUCGCUGUGAAGAUGCAGUGUACCCGCGGCAAGACGGAAAGACCCCGUGAACCUUUACUAUAGCUUGACACUGAACAUUGAGCCUUGAUGUGUAGGAUAGGUGGGAGGCUUUGAAGUGUGGACGCCAGUCUGCAUGGAGCCGACCUUGAAAUACCACCCUUUAAUGUUUGAUGUUCUAACGUGGACCCGUUACCCGGGUUGCGGACAGUGUCUGGUGGGUAGUUUGACUGGGGCGGUCUCCUCCUAAAGAGUAACGGAGGAGCACGAAGGUUGGCUAAUCCUGGUCGGACAUCAGGAGGUUAGUGCAAUGGCAUAAGCCAGCUUGACUGCGAGCGUGACGGCGCGAGCAGGUGCGAAAGCAGGUCAUAGUGAUCCGGUGGUUCUGAAUGGAAGGGCCAUCGCUCAACGGAUAAAAGGUACUCCGGGGAUAACAGGCUGAUACCGCCCAAGAGUUCAUAUCGACGGCGGUGUUUGGCACCUCGAUGUCGGCUCAUCACAUCCUGGGGCUGAAGUAGGUCCCAAGGGUAUGGCUGUUCGCCAUUUAAAGUGGUACGCGAGCUGGGUUUAGAACGUCGUGAGACAGUUCGGUCCCUAUCUGCCGUGGGCGCUGGAGAACUGAGGGGGGCUGCUCCUAGUACGAGAGGACCGGAGUGGACGCAUCACUGGUGUUCGGGUUGUCAUGCCAAUGGCACUGCCCGGUAGCUAAAUGCGGAAGAGAUAAGUGCUGAAAGCAUCUAAGCACGAAACUUGCCCCGAGAUGAGUUCUCCCUGAGACUUUAGGUCUCCUGAAGGAACGUUGAAGACGACGACGUUGAUAGGCCGGGUGUGUAAGCGCAGCGAUGCGUUGAGCUAACCGGUACUAAUGAACCGUGAGGCUUAACCUUACAACGCCG
Molecule: ribosomal RNA, 2248 nt
Filed under: Salmonella enterica subsp. enterica serovar Berta
Lineage: Bacteria; Pseudomonadati; Pseudomonadota; Gammaproteobacteria; Enterobacterales; Enterobacteriaceae
Also listed under: 2 other names
Description: partial 23S ribosomal RNA
Rfam family: Bacterial large subunit ribosomal RNA
Source: RNAcentral